UUAGCAUUCAGUGUCCAAUUAUGGAUUGAGUUGGGUGAAAUGAGUCUUCAAUGUAACAAGAUUCAAAUCUGUCUGAUUCAUGCCCAUUCCACUGAGAGACCCGGGGGUGUGUUUCUCCUUAGCCCUUAGAAAUGAGAGUAUUUACCUCUUCUCUUUAGCUCUUGUCUUCAGUGGUGUGGAGUUUGGUUCUUUAUUCUCCUGUUCUAGUUUCCAAAUGUGACCUGAGCCCAUACUUGGCAAAUGCUCUGAGGAAAGGACACGAGGAUACCUAAAAAAGGCUCUUCCCACUCUGGAAUUUUAGUUGAGCUAGUUCUUUCUGCUUCCAGAGACCUAUGGUCUCUAACAAUAAAACUUAGGUAUUUUAGUUGUGUUUUUUAACUAAUUUUAGCCAUUGUGCAUUGGCCUCUCCUAACCUACUCCCCUCUGCCUACUCAGGAGAAUUCUUAGGAGAAGAAUUCGCAAUGACUUGACCAGUUUUGCUGACCUCCUGACAAUUAUGAUGAGUUCAGGUUUUCUAGUCUUUCUGUGUUAGCAGAAAAGUCAGGUGACCCUUAGUGGUAGGAAUUUCACUGUUUGUACUCUACCCUCAAAUGCAUCUAAGAGGACAAGGGUGUGAAGUAAAUUGAGUUCUCCUACUAUAAGUCCUCAUUCAUGGCACAGGUUUUAUACCCGUGAUUCCUGAUGCCGGGAUGUACCACGGCUUAUAAACCGCUCCUCUGAACCAGUUCUCCUGAGUACGUUCAAUUCUCUUAUUAACGUAAAACCUCUUUACACAUUUUGUUAUUGAACUAUCACGUACUAGGGAGAGGAGGAACGUACCAACCUCAGUUCAUCAGUGGGAAAACUUAGAUUUCUGAUAGGUAAUCUGCACACAAUGAUCAUUAAUAGGGUUAAUAAUUUCACAAUAUACGUACGUGCUUCUGCCUACACGAGUAACACAUUUAUACUGCUUUUUACAUAGACCCAUCUCAUUUUACCUUUCCCAAGUGAGGUAAGGCAAAGGAUUUACUUGAAAAAGAACACACACUCCCUGUGACAGUGGUUUCCGACCAUCAGUAGAUAGACAUAUUCUGGUUUGUGUGUGAAAGUAAAAAUUUCAAGUCCUCACUCCAUUGAAAUUCAGAUUUUGCGGAUUUUCGGGAAGGUCCAGGAGUCUGAGGUACCACUGGAGACUGGAAAGAAAUCAGAUGACUGCUGAACAGAAUGAAAGCUUUGACAAGAUUUUCCAAAAGGCAGAUGAAAGAUUUUCCCUUGAAGUUCAUCUGGGAUAUGAAUGAAGAAUAGAUUUCUUAACAAUGCACAAAUAUUUUUACGAAACUUCUUUCAGAAGGAAAUAUAUUGAAUUGUACCCUUUCAUCUUUGAUUGUCAUUGGCUUAUUAUUGAAAAAGCUCACUGAUGAAUAAAUAUUCAUAUGCCCACACUACAUCGUUUGCCAUCCGUGGCCUGUUUCAAUUUGCUAGGAUUCCUCACUUUCUGAUCAGAAGAGGUUUCCUCUCUUUGUGUCGCAGUGUAAUUAUGGAAUAGUUUUUACCUUAAGUUCAGAAAUUCCAAAGCCUUGAACCACAAAGGAGACCGUAACAUGUGAUUGAUUUGACAUCUUAAAAUGGAAGCCGUGUCAUUUAUAAAAAACUACUUAUGGUCUUUUUUCAUAUUUAAGAUUUUAAUUCUUAGGUAAUCAAAUGAGUCAGCCUUUCAUUUUAUGGCUUCUAGGAUUUGUGUCCGACUAGGAGUGUUGCUGUCACAAGUAUUUCCAUGUAUUCAUAAAUCAUUUCUUUAUUUAAUCUUAAUAUCUAUCUUUUGUUGUUAGAUACCUGUCAAUUUUUUUUCCUAACAGAGAGCCAAAUGGCCCCAAAUCAUUUAUUGAAUUCCCAUCAUUUUCCUACUGAUUAAAACAGACAUUAUCUUGUUCUACAAUGUUGUACGUACAGACAUUUUCUUAUGUAAAAUGACCUAUUUUCUGUCGAUAUAAUUUUCUUUUUUGUGACUAUGCCCUAAUUUCUAACAUAGAUUAAGAAACCAAUAAAUCGUGAUGCAUUGUGUUGGAAUCCUGCUAAGUGUUGCUUUACUCCUAAAAUGUCACAUAAAAAUUGAGAUCACCAC
Long non-coding RNA from Felis catus (domestic cat), 2101 nucleotides. RefSeq lists it as uncharacterized. The record is from RefSeq and is a predicted model, not a curated record. The transcript is spliced from 2 exons. NCBI's taxonomy places the organism in Eukaryota, Metazoa, Chordata, Mammalia, Carnivora, Felidae.